AUUGAACGCUGGCGGCAUGCCCUACACAUGCAAGUCGAACGGCAGCACGGGAGCAAUCCUGGUGGCGAGUGGCGAACGGGUGAGUAAAGUAUCGGAACGUGCCCAGUCGUGGGGGAUAACGUAGCGAAAGUUACGCUAAUACCGCAUACGAUCUAUGGAUGAAAGCGGGGGAUCGCAAGACCUCGCGCGAUUGGAGCGGCCGAUAUCAGAUUAGGUAGUUGGUGGGGUAAAGGCUCACCAAGCCGACGAUCUGUAGCUGGUCUGAGAGGACGACCAGCCACACUGGGCCUGAGACACGGCCCAGACUCCUACGGGAGGCAGCAGUGGGGAAUUUUGGACAAUGGGCGAAAGCCUGAUCCAGCCAUGCCGCGUGCAGGACGAAGGCCUUCGGGUUGUAAACUGCUUUUGUACGGAACGAAAAGGUUUGGCCUAAUAAGCUGAGCUCAUGACGGUACCGUAAGAAUAAGCACCGGCUAACUACGUGCCAGCCGCCGCCGUAA
RNAcentral lists this ribosomal RNA (500 nucleotides) under uncultured bacterium. RNAcentral describes it as "partial 16S ribosomal RNA". It matches the Rfam family "Bacterial small subunit ribosomal RNA", at positions 30 to 523 of the family's 1533-position model. The record is from RNAcentral.